UCAGGCAACUCAUUCAUUUCCUUUUUUUAUAUCACAGAACCCUUUUAUUUCCUUUACACAUAUCACACAGGUUCAAGAGAGAAACAGAAGAAAGAGAUGGAGAAGCACAGAGGUGAAGAGUUUGAUGCGUUGCCUUUCAAACCCUAGAUUUCUAAGGACUUUGAUCUUCUGUUCUCUUUGCUAGCCAUUACAUAACCCAUAAUCAUUCAACAAGCAGGCAUCGAUACAAUAUUUUUUUAAAAGCAAGCAUCGCUGGUGAAGAUGGCAGAUUCUGAAUUGCAUGACAUUAUUGUGCACUACAAGUUCACUGUGAAAGGAAUUUAUAAUGUUAACCCUGAUAGGUUCCUUGGCCCAAAAGGAGCAAAAAUAAGGUGUUGUGGAUUUUUGAUCAACAAUGUGCUCAAAAGCUGAAUUUCAGGCAGCAGUGGAACUCAAUUUUGAUUGCCACUUUUGACCCAGAAAGCUCAAGAUCUGGACUUCCAUUAUAAAAUGGCAUAUUUAGAGCUCUAAAUUAUCUUUCUAAAUCUUCAAACGGUUUGUCAUUCGGAGCUCGGAGCAGAGAGUUAUGGCCUUAUUACCAGAGAUGCGCAGAACUGCCUGGCAGCAAUGAAAUUCUGUCUUGAUCUUCAUUUUCGACCAACCAUCCUUGAGAAUUGGAUCUCCACUAAAACAUGAAGUAUUUAAAGCUCUGAAUUAGCUCUCCAAAUCUUCAAACAGUUUGUCAUUCGGAGUUCAGAGCGCAAAGUUAUGACCAUUUCAUCAAAGUAGGUCCGGGCGGGGCAAAUGGAGAAUAGGCAUUCUGCCCAAUUUUCGAGUGCUCGAGGCCCAAAUUUGAGCACUCGAAUUUAGGGCAGUUUGUCUCCGAAAAAUCACUAUUUCAGCCACUUGUUUCUUGGUUCCUUCAUUUUCUGAUUUCGUUCUUUAUGAGGUGGUUGGAGAUGUUCCUAGGGGGGAGGGAGAGAGCCUAGUUUGGUGGUAGAUAAGAGGGAUAAGAGCCACACAUCUCCUAAGCUAGUUUGGAUCAGAUUUUGGGGAGAGAAGAGGGCAAGGAGAUAGAGUUCUUCAAGCUUGAAGAAGGGAGCACGAAAAUGGAGGAGGUCUUCAAGCUUCUUCCUUCUUCCAUUGCUCCUAUGGGUAACUAAAUCUUCUCUAGGGAGGUGAUGAAGCCCCUCCCUUGUAAGCAUGUUGCUCAUUACACUAAUUUUGAGUGCUCGAGACCACCCUUCGAGUGCUCGAAAUUCUGGCAGAUUGCACUCGGAAAUGGCUCAAUUUCAGCCACUUGCACAUUGGUUUCCUCAAUGCCAUCUUCCUUCUUUAUGAAGUGGUUGGAGGUGUUCCUUGGAGGAGAGAGAGCCUUGACUUGAGCUUGAUAAGAGAGAGGGAGGACCACAUAGAUGUUAAGCUUCAUUUUACAAGAUAGAGGAGAGAGAAGAGAGCAAGGAAGAGGGUGUUCUUGAGUGCUACAGUAGGAGCUCGAAAAUGGAGAUGGAUCCUUCUUCUUCUUCUUCCAUUUUUGUAUCAAUGGAGAGCUAAACCUCCAUCUAGGGAGGUGAUGAAGCUCCUCCCUUGUAAGCAUGUGCUAGUGUAGAUUUUAUUUUGGGGAGAACAAUGUAUAGUUUUUGGUUAUUUUAUGAUCUAGAGCAUUAUAUUUGUUGUAAUGAACUUUAAUGUCUAUACAUAAUUAUUUUGAGUUA
Molecule: long non-coding RNA, 1694 nt
Organism: Cornus florida
Lineage: Eukaryota; Viridiplantae; Streptophyta; Magnoliopsida; Cornales; Cornaceae
Exons: 3
Source: RefSeq, a predicted model, not a curated record